Molecule: ribosomal RNA, 253 nt
Filed under: uncultured bacterium
Lineage: Bacteria
Description: partial 16S ribosomal RNA
Rfam family: Bacterial small subunit ribosomal RNA
Source: RNAcentral
GACGAACCGUGCGACCGUUGUUCGGAAUCAUUGGGCUUAAAGGGCGCGUAGGCGGGCGGUCAAGUCAGAGGUGAAAGCCCACGGCUCAACCGUGGAAGUGCCUCUGAUACUGGCCAUCUGGAGGGAGGUAGGGGCGUGCGGAACUUCCGGUGGAGCGGUGAAAUGCGUAGAUAUCGGAAGGAACACCGGUGGCGAAAGCGGCGCGCUGGACCUCUACUGACGCUGAGGCGCGAAAGCCAGGGGAGCAAACGGG